UGGGGAAUAUUGCACAAUGGGCGCAAGCCUGAUGCAGCCAUGCCGCGUGUGUGAAGAAGGCCUUCGGGUUGUAAAGCACUUUCAGCGAGGAGGAAGGUGGUGAGCUUAAUACGCUCAUCAAUUGACGUUACUCGCAGAAGAAGCACCGGCUAACUCCGUGCCAGCAGCCGCGGUAAUACGGAGGGUGCAAGCGUUAAUCGGAAUUACUGGGCGUAAAGCGCACGCAGGCGGUUUGUUAAGUCAGAUGUGAAAUCCCCGGGCUCAACCUGGGAACUGCAUUUGAAACUGGCAAGCUAGAGUCUCGUAGAGGGGGGUAGAAUUCCAGGUGUAGCGGUGAAAUGCGUAGAGAUCUGGAGGAAUACCGGUGGCGAAGGCGGCCCCCUGGACGAAGACUGACGCUCAGGUGCGAAAGCGUGGGGCAGCAAACAGGAUUAGAUACCCUGGUAGUCCACGCUGUAAACGAUGUCGAUUUUGGAGGUUGUGCCCUUGAGGCGUGGCUUCCGGAGCUAACGCGUUAAAUCGACCGCCUGGGGAGUACGGCCGCAAGGUUAAAACUUAAAGGAAUUG
This 567-nucleotide ribosomal RNA is filed under the name uncultured bacterium. RNAcentral describes it as "partial 16S ribosomal RNA". It matches the Rfam family "Bacterial small subunit ribosomal RNA", at positions 355 to 912 of the family's 1533-position model. The record is from RNAcentral.